GAAAUGCGAUAAGUAAUGUGAAUUGCAGAAUUCAGUGAAUCAUCGAAUCUUUGAACGCACAUUGCGCCCGCCAGUAUUCUGGCGGGCAUGCCUGUUCGAGCGUCAUUUCAACCAUCAAGCCCCCGGCUUGUGUUGGGGACCCGCGGCUGCCCGCAGGCCCUGAAAAACAGUGGCGGGCUCGCUGUCACACCGAGCGUAGUAGCAUACAUUCUCGCUCAGGGCGUGCUGCGGGUUCCGGCCGUUAAACGACCUUCAUAACCCAAGGUUGACCUCGGAUCAGGUAGGAAGACCCGCUGAACUUAAGC
This 305-nucleotide unclassified non-coding RNA is filed under the name plant metagenome. RNAcentral's name for it is "partial contains 5.8S ribosomal RNA, internal transcribed spacer 2, and large subunit ribosomal RNA". The stretch from base 1 to 105 matches the Rfam family "5.8S ribosomal RNA", at positions 50 to 154 of the family's 154-position model. The record is from RNAcentral.